Molecule: ribosomal RNA, 133 nt
Filed under: Escherichia coli
Lineage: Bacteria; Pseudomonadati; Pseudomonadota; Gammaproteobacteria; Enterobacterales; Enterobacteriaceae
Description: partial 23S ribosomal RNA
Rfam family: Bacterial large subunit ribosomal RNA (bases 1-115)
Source: RNAcentral
UGGCUCCUUGAGAGUCCUGAAGGAACGUUGAAGACGACGACGUUGAUAGGCCGGGUGUGUAAGCGCAGCGAUGCGUUGAGCUAACCGGUACUAAUGAACCGUGAGGCUUAACCUUACAACGCCGAAGGUGUUU